Molecule: long non-coding RNA, 646 nt
Organism: Notothenia coriiceps (black rockcod)
Lineage: Eukaryota; Metazoa; Chordata; Actinopteri; Perciformes; Nototheniidae
Exons: 2
Source: RefSeq, a predicted model, not a curated record
UUCAGUGAUAACAAGCCGUCUGAAAGCUUCCAGGAACCACGUUAUCAUGGUCGUGUUGAGCUGAAAGAUCCACAGAUGAAGAACGGAAACACUUCUGUUCUCCUGAAGAACGUCAGCAUCAACGACACGGGAAAAUACGAAUGUCGGGUUACAACUAACUCCAAUAAUUCAAACCUGGGAGUGUUGGUGUCCUCCGUCCAUCUGAUCGUCUCUGACGGUGAAUGGAAGAAUUGGAGGAACAAGUGCACAGAAGAAACGUUGGGUUGGGAGUUGGUUUGGGAGUGGUUUGUCUUGUUGUUGUUGGACUUUUUCUGAAAUCUAAAAGAGCUAAGGAGAAAGGAUCAGCAGAGUGUAUCGAUGAACAGGAAAUGUCCAAACUGAACACCUGACUGUCCUCCAUCACCUGCUUCUCCUCUCCUGAAUGUCCACCUUGUCGUGGUGGAGGGUCUUGAUGAAUAACCCAACCACCUGCACUACCUGGGGGGCUCACUACUAUCUAAAUCAGAUUACAGGAUAUCAGGUACUCACGCUGCAGACACACGCUGCUCCGGACCACGUUGUGUUCAGGGGUUAGGCUUAAGAUCAGCAACCCCAUCAGGGUUACAGAGAACCCCAUCAGGGUUACAGAGACCCCCAUCAGGAUAAC